GACGAACGCUGGCGGUAUGCUUAACACAUGCAAGUCGAACGAGAAGAGUCAGUUAAGAACCUUCGGGGAAUAAGUGAUUGGAAAGUGGCGAACGGGUGAGUAACGCGUGGGUAACCUGCCCUAUGGAAAGGAAUAGCCUCGGGAAACUGGGAGUAAAGCCUUAUAUUAUGGAGAGAUCGCAUGGUCAUUUCAUGAAAACUCCGGUGCCAUAGGAUGGACCCGCGUCCCAUUAGCUAGUUGGUGAGAUAACAGCCCACCAAGGCGACGAUGGGUAACCGGUCUGAGAGGGCGAACGGUCACACUGGAACUGAGACACGGUCCAG
This 323-nucleotide ribosomal RNA is filed under the name uncultured bacterium. Its description in RNAcentral is "bacterial SSU rRNA". It matches the Rfam family "Bacterial small subunit ribosomal RNA", at positions 28 to 334 of the family's 1533-position model. The record is from RNAcentral.